GGAAGGAUCAUUAACAGUGCUCUUUGUAUGCAAAUACAUUCACUAAACAACCAUGUGUGAACCGUUUUGACUGACCAAUGUGUGCGGGUACUCUGUCAAAAGGGUACGGCUGCCACAUUAUUUUUAUUUAACAACCCCCGUCGUAAAAUUAUGUACUGAAUAGUAAAGCUUGGUUGAAAAACUUGCAAAACUUUUAGCAAUGGAUCUCUAGGCUCUUGCAACGAUGAAGAACGCAGCGAAUUGCGAAAUGUAAUGUGAAUUGCAGAAUUCGUGAAUCAUCAAAUCUUUGAACGCACAUUGCACUGUCCUCGAGGCAGUAUGUCUGUUUGAGUAUCUGUACCCCAUUAUCAGAGCUUCGUGCUUUGGAGUUGAACAGCUGCACUUUUUAACGGAAGGGCACUGUUUGAAAUGAAGUUGCGCUUAGUGAGGAGGUGAUGCUCCUCCGAGGCACAAGUGAGUGUACUACACAGGUCUGGUCGGCAGUGGUAGCGCAUCAGUCAUGGUUACGACUUUUGACUUGGUGUCUGCACCCUGCAUUCAAACGGCCUUUUCUGUGCACACUUGCGCACAAUUUUAAGAUCUCAAAUUAGACAAGAUUACCCGCUGAACUUAAGCAUAUCAAUAAGCGGAGGAAAAGAAACUAACUAGGAUUCCCUUAGUAACGGCGAGCGAAGUGGGAAUAGCUCAAAUUUAAAAUCUCCUCGGAGAAUUGUAGUUUGUAGAGGUGUUUUCGACCUGGGCGCUGGACUUAAAUCCUCUGGAACGAGGUAUCAUUGAGGGUGAUAAUCCCGUAAAUGGUCCAGAGUGCUCAGGCGUUUGAUACACUUUCAAAGAGUCGGGUUGUUUGAGAAUGCAGCCCAAAUCGGGUGGUAUAUUCCAUCUAAAGCUAAAUACUGGCAAGAGACCGAUAGCGAACAAGUACCGUGAGGGAAAGAUGAAAAGAACUUUGAAAGAGAGUUAAACAGUACGUGAAAUUGCUAAAAGGGAAACGUUUGGAAUUAGUGUUGCUGCUGGCAAAUCAAUCAUCUGGGUGAUUCCGGGUGGUGCACUUUGUCAGUGGCAGGUCAACAUCAGUUUGCUGCAAGGUAAAAUAGCCGGACAAGGUAGCUGCUUGCAGUGUUAUAGGCCCGGUAAAUGCCUUGCGGUCAGACUGAGGAAUGCAUCUUUAGGAUGUUGACAAAAUGGUUCCAAAUGACCCGUCUUGAAACACGGACCAAGGAGUCUAACAUGUAUGCGAGUAUUUGGGUGUGGAAACCCAGAUGCGUAAUGAAAGUGAAGUAGGUGGGAUCCCGCAAGGGUGCACCAUCGACCGAUCUUGAAGUUUACUGAUAGAUUUGAGUAAGAGCAUAUCUGUUGGGACCCGAAAGAUGGUGAACUAUGCCUGAAUAGGGUGAAGCCAGAGGAAACUCUGGUGGAGGCUCGUAGCGGUUCUAACGUGCAAAUUGAUCGUCAAAUUUGGGUAUAGGGGCGAAAGACUAAUCGAACCAUCUGGUAGCUGGUUCCCUC
Molecule: unclassified non-coding RNA, 1506 nt
Filed under: uncultured fungus
Lineage: Eukaryota; Fungi
Description: sequence contains 18S rRNA gene, ITS1, 5.8S rRNA gene, ITS2, 28S rRNA gene
Rfam family: Eukaryotic large subunit ribosomal RNA (bases 577-1506)
Source: RNAcentral